AUGAACGCUGGCGGCGUGCCUAAUACAUGCAAGUCGAGCGAACGGACGAGAAGCUUGCUUCUCUGAUGUUAGCGGCGGACGGGUGAGUAACACGUGGAUAACCUACCUAUAAGACUGGGAUAACUUCGGGAAACCGGAGCUAAUACCGGAUGAUAUUUUGAACCGCAUGGUUCAAAAGUGAAAGACGGUCUUGCUGUCACUUAUAGAUGGAUCCGCGCUGCAUUAGCUAGUUGGUAAGGUAACGGCUUACCAAGGCAACGAUGCAUAGCCGACCUGAGAGGGUGAUCGGCCACACUGGAACUGAGACACGGUCCAGACUCCUACGGGAGGCAGCAGUAGGGAAUCUUCCGCAAUGGGCGAAAGCCUGACGGAGCAACGCCGCGUGAGUGAUGAAGGUCUUCGGAUCGUAAAACUCUGUUAUUAGGGAAGAACAUAUGUGUAAGUAACUGUGCACGUCUUGACGGUACCUAAUCAGAAAGCCACGGCUAACUACGUG
This 496-nucleotide ribosomal RNA is filed under the name uncultured bacterium. RNAcentral's name for it is "partial 16S ribosomal RNA". It matches the Rfam family "Bacterial small subunit ribosomal RNA", at positions 29 to 507 of the family's 1533-position model. The record is from RNAcentral.